RNAcentral lists this transfer RNA (97 nucleotides) under Mycobacterium senriense. RNAcentral describes it as "Mycobacterium sp. TY59 tRNA-Thr". Lineage: Bacteria; Bacillati; Actinomycetota; Actinomycetes; Mycobacteriales; Mycobacteriaceae. The record is from RNAcentral.
UCGUUGCUGGUACGCGCGGUUCGCGUUGGCCUCGUGGGUCAACAGGAAUCGCGUGCCGGCGAUGACACCGCUGGCGCCGGCGUCCAGCGCGGCGCGC